Molecule: ribosomal RNA, 253 nt
Filed under: uncultured bacterium
Lineage: Bacteria
Description: partial 16S ribosomal RNA
Rfam family: Bacterial small subunit ribosomal RNA
Source: RNAcentral
UACGUAGGGUGCAAGCGUUGUCCGGAAUUAUUGGGCGUAAAGAGCUCGUAGGCGGUCUGUCGCGUCGGCUGUGAAAACCCGGAGCUCAACUCCGGGCCUGCAGUCGAUACGGGCAGACUAGAGUGUGGUAGGGGAGACUGGAAUUCCUGGUGUAGCGGUGAAAUGCGCAGAUAUCAGGAGGAACACCGGUGGCGAAGGCGGGUCUCUGGGCCAUAACUGACGCUGAGGAGCGAAAGCGUGGGGAGCGAACAGG